GCCUGGGUGGCUCAGUCGUUAAGCGUCUGCCUUUGGCUCAGGACGUGAUCCUGGUGUUGUGGGAUCAAGCCCCACAUCAGGCU
Non-coding RNA from Ailuropoda melanoleuca (giant panda), 83 nucleotides. The record is from Rfam. NCBI's taxonomy places the organism in Eukaryota, Metazoa, Chordata, Mammalia, Carnivora, Ursidae.